GAGGGGAUAGCUCAAGUAGUAGAGCACAUGCUUAGCAAGCACAAGGUCCUGGGUUCGAUCCCCAGCACCUUCU
This is a transfer RNA of Camelus ferus (Wild Bactrian camel), 73 nucleotides long. It matches the Rfam family "tRNA". From Rfam's summary of the family: Transfer RNA (tRNA) molecules are approximately 80 nucleotides in length. Their secondary structure includes four short double-helical elements and three loops (D, anti-codon, and T loops). NCBI's taxonomy places the organism in Eukaryota, Metazoa, Chordata, Mammalia, Artiodactyla, Camelidae. The record is from Rfam.